UACGGGGGGGGCAAGCGUUGUUCGGAAUUACUGGGCGUAAAGGGCUCGUAGGCGGCCAACUAAGUCAGACGUGAAAUCCCUCGGCUUAACCGGGGAACUGCGUCUGAUACUGGAUGGCUUGAGUUCGGGAGAGGGAUGCGGAAUUCCAGGUGUAGCGGUGAAAUGCGUAGAUAUCUGGAGGAAUACCGGUGGCGAAGGCGGCAUCCUGGACCGGCAUUGACGCUGAGUGAGCGAAAGCCAGGGGAGCAAACGGG
Molecule: ribosomal RNA, 254 nt
Filed under: uncultured bacterium
Lineage: Bacteria
Description: partial 16S ribosomal RNA
Rfam family: Bacterial small subunit ribosomal RNA
Source: RNAcentral